Molecule: transfer RNA, 72 nt
Filed under: Ovis aries (sheep)
Lineage: Eukaryota; Metazoa; Chordata; Mammalia; Artiodactyla; Bovidae
Rfam family: tRNA
About the family: Transfer RNA (tRNA) molecules are approximately 80 nucleotides in length. Their secondary structure includes four short double-helical elements and three loops (D, anti-codon, and T loops).
Source: Rfam by way of RNAcentral
UCCCUGGUGGCUCAGACAGUAAAGCAUCUGCCUGCAAUGCGGGAGACCCAGGUUCAACCCCUGGGUGAGGAA